GGUGGGGUAACCUUUUUGGAGCCAGCCGCCUAAGGUGGGACAGAUGAUUGGGGUGAAGUCGUAACAAGGUAGCCGUAUCGGAAGGUGCGGCUGGAUCACCUCCUUUCUAUGGAGA
RNAcentral lists this ribosomal RNA (115 nucleotides) under Bacillus cereus. RNAcentral describes it as "partial 16S ribosomal RNA". It matches the Rfam family "Bacterial small subunit ribosomal RNA", at positions 1429 to 1533 of the family's 1533-position model. The record is from RNAcentral. Lineage: Bacteria; Bacillati; Bacillota; Bacilli; Caryophanales; Bacillaceae.